UCGAGGAUCUUCUGCAAUGGGCGAAAGCCUGACAGAGCGACGCCGCGUGUGGGAUGAAGGCCUUCGGGUUGUAAACCACUGUCACCGGUUAUGAAGAGACACGGGGCUAAUAUCUUCGUGUUUUGACAAAGGCCGGAGAGGAAGCCACGGCUAACUUCGUGCCAGCAGCCGCGGUAAGACGAAGGUGGCGAGCGUUGUUCGGAAUCACUGGGCAUAAAGCGCACGUAGGCGGCGGCGUAAGUCGGGUGUGAAAUCCCUCGGCCUAACCGAGGAACUGCGCCCGAUACUGCGUUGCUUGAGGGUCAAAGGGGUGCAUGGAAUUCCCGGUGGAGCGGUGAAAUGCGUUGAUAUCGGGAGGAACGCCGGCGGCGAAAGCGGUGCACUGGUUGACUUCUGACGCUGAUGUGCGAAAGCCAGGGGAGCAAACGGGAUUAGAUACCCCCGUAGUCC
RNAcentral lists this ribosomal RNA (450 nucleotides) under uncultured bacterium. RNAcentral's name for it is "bacterial SSU rRNA". It matches the Rfam family "Bacterial small subunit ribosomal RNA", at positions 355 to 796 of the family's 1533-position model. The record is from RNAcentral.